GACGAACGCUGGCGGCGUGCUUAACACAUGCAAGUCGAACGGUGAAGGGGUCUGCUUUUGUGGGCCCUGGAUGAGUGGCGAACGGGUGAGUAACACGUGAGUAAUCUGCCCCCUUCUUCUGGAUAACCGCAUGAAAGUGUGGCUAAUACGGGAUAUUCUGGGUCUGUCGCAUGAUGGGUCUGGGAAAGAUUGCGCCUUUGGGUGUUUUUGGUGGGGGAUGGGCUCGCGGCCUAUCAGCUUGUUGGUGGGGUGAUGGCCUACCAAGGCGGUGACGGGUAGCCGGCCUGAGGGGGUGGACGGUCACACUGGGACUGAGACACGGCCCAGACUCCUACGGGAGGCAGCAGUGGGGAAUAUUGCACAAUGGGCGCAAGCCUGAUGCAGCGACGCCGCGUGAGGGAUGGAGGCCUUCGGGUUGUAAACCUCUUUCGCCAGUGAAGCAGGCCUGCUCCUUGUGGGUGGGUUGACGGUAGCUGGAUAAGAAGCGCCGGCUAACUACGUG
This 502-nucleotide ribosomal RNA is filed under the name uncultured bacterium. RNAcentral describes it as "partial 16S ribosomal RNA". It matches the Rfam family "Bacterial small subunit ribosomal RNA", at positions 28 to 507 of the family's 1533-position model. The record is from RNAcentral.